Molecule: transfer RNA, 74 nt
Filed under: Euryarchaeota archaeon ADurb.Bin165
Lineage: Archaea; Methanobacteriati; Methanobacteriota
Also listed under: 2 other names
Description: tRNA-Lys
Rfam family: tRNA
About the family: Transfer RNA (tRNA) molecules are approximately 80 nucleotides in length.
Source: RNAcentral
GGGUCUGUAGCUUAGUCGGUAGAGCGGCGGACUCUUAAUCCGCAGGCCAGGGGUUCGAGUCCCUUCAGGCCCGC